CCUACGGGUGGCAGCAGUGAGGAAUAUUGGUCAAUGGCCGAGAGGCUGAACCAGCCAAGUCGCGUGAGGGAAGACGGCCCUACGGGUUGUAAACCUCUUUUGUCGGGGAGCAAAGCGAACCACGUGUGGCUCAUUGAGAGUACCCGAAGAAAAAGCAUCGGCUAACUCCGUGCCAGCAGCCGCGGUAAUACGGAGGAUGCGAGCGUUAUCCGGAUUUAUUGGGUUUAAAGGGUGCGCAGGCGGAGGUUGAAGUCAGCGGUAAAAUUGCGGGGCUCAACCCCGUACUGCCGUUGAAACUGGAUAGCUAGAGUGCGCGAGAAGUAUGCGGAAUGCGUGGUGUAGCGGUGAAAUGCAUAGAUAUCACGCAGAACUCCGAUUGCGAAGGCAGCAUACCGGCGCGCAACUGACGCUCAUGCACGAAAGCGUGGGUAUCGAACAGGAUUAGAUACCCCUGUAGUC
This 459-nucleotide ribosomal RNA is filed under the name uncultured bacterium. RNAcentral's name for it is "partial 16S ribosomal RNA". It matches the Rfam family "Bacterial small subunit ribosomal RNA", at positions 338 to 795 of the family's 1533-position model. The record is from RNAcentral.